UACAGAGGUCUCAAGCGUUGUUCGGAUUCAUUGGGCGUAAAGGGUGCGUAGGCGGCGCGCUGAGUCGGGUGUGAAAUUUCGGAGCUUAACUCCGAAACUGCAUUCGAUACUGGCGUGCUUGAGGACUGGAGAGGAGACUGGAAUUCAUGGUGUAGCAGUGAAAUGCGUAGAGAUCAUGAGGAAGACCAGUGGCGAAGGCGGGUCUCUGGACAGUUCCUGACACUGAGGCACGAAGGCCAGGGGAGCAAACGGG
RNAcentral lists this ribosomal RNA (253 nucleotides) under uncultured bacterium. RNAcentral's name for it is "partial 16S ribosomal RNA". It matches the Rfam family "Bacterial small subunit ribosomal RNA", at positions 524 to 776 of the family's 1533-position model. The record is from RNAcentral.